This 326-nucleotide ribosomal RNA is filed under the name uncultured eukaryote. Its description in RNAcentral is "partial 18S ribosomal RNA". It matches the Rfam family "Eukaryotic small subunit ribosomal RNA", at positions 1470 to 1796 of the family's 1831-position model. The record is from RNAcentral.
CCCUUAGAUGUUCUGGGCUGCACGCGCGCUACACUGAUGCGCUCAACCAGUUUAUGACCUUGCCCGGAAGGGUUGGGUAAUCUUUUCAAAACGCAUCGUGAUGGGGAUAGAUUAUUGCAAUUAUUAAUCUUCAACGAGGAAUUCCUAGUAAGCGCGAGUCAUCAGCUCGUGCUGAUUACGUCCCUGCCCUUUGUACACACCGCCCGUCACUCCUACCGAUUGAGUGAUCCGGUGAAUAAUUCGGACUGCGGCAAUGUUCAGCUCCUGAAUGUUGCUGCGGAAAGUUUAGUGAACCUUAUCACUUAGAGGAAGGAGAAGUCGUAACA